CGCUGGCGGCAUGCUUUACACAUGCAAGUCGAACGGUAACAGGUCUUCGGAUGCUGACGAGUGGCGAACGGGUGAGUAAUACAUCGGAACGUGCCUAGUAGUGGGGGAUAACUACUCGAAAGAGUAGCUAAUACCGCAUGAGACCUACGGAUGAAAGCAGGGGACCUUCGGGCCUUGUGCUACUAGAGCGGCUGAUGGCAGAUUAGGUAGUUGGUGGGGUAAAGGCUUACCAAGCCUGCGAUCUGUAGCUGGUCUGAGAGGACGACCAGCCACACUGGGACUGAGACGCGGCCCAGACUCCUACGGGAGGCAGCAGUGGGGAAUUCUGGACAAUGGGCGAAAGCCUGAUCCAGCAAUGCCGCGUGCAGGAUGAAGGCCCUCGGGUUGUAAACUGCUUUUGUACGGAACGAAAAGCCUGGGGCUAAUACCCCCGGGUCAUGACGGUACCGUAAGAAUAAGCACCGGCUAACUACGUGCCAGCAGCCGCGGUAAUACGUAGGGUGCAAGCGUUAAUCGGAAUUACUGGGCGUAAAGCGUGCGCAGGCGGUUUUGUAAGACAGUGGUGAAAUCCCCGGGCUCAACCUGGGAACUGCCAUUGUGACUGCAAGGCUAGAGUGCGGCAGAGGGGGAUGGAAUUCCGCGUGUAGCAGUGAAAUGCGUAGAUAUGCGGAGGAACACCGAUGGCGAAGGCAAUCCCCUGGGCCUGCACUGACGCUCAUGCACGA
This 725-nucleotide ribosomal RNA is filed under the name uncultured beta proteobacterium. RNAcentral's name for it is "bacterial SSU rRNA". It matches the Rfam family "Bacterial small subunit ribosomal RNA", at positions 34 to 756 of the family's 1533-position model. Lineage: Bacteria; Pseudomonadati; Pseudomonadota; Betaproteobacteria. The record is from RNAcentral.